UCUGGCACCAUGCUCUAAUGUUUACGGUGACCGUGACCAGCACCCUGGCAUCGGUAGCGAUUUGGUUCAACCACACAACUUUUAUCCAGAAUCUGAGCCAGAGGGAGAGGCUGCUGAAGAAGUUCAAACUCUACAACUGCAGCAAGACGUUUCUGAAUGGUGCUGUGGAAACUGUGCAACCAUGCCCACAGAAGCUGAAAAUAUCUGCUGCUAGGAGAUACCACAGAAUUACCGUAUUUUCCGGACUAUAAGCCGCUACUUUUUUCCUGGGUUUUGAACCAUGCGGCUUAUAUACAGGUGCGGCUAUUCUGUGGAUUUUUCUUCCACCGCUAGGGGCGCUCUAACUGGAAUUAGAAUAAAAAAUAAGAUAGACGAAAAAUCAAUGCAAAGAAGAAUACGCCACUUUUUCUUUAGCAGAUAAAUUACCAACUGGUCAUUAUAAAAAUCCACCAUCACCAACGGGUUCCGAAAGGCUGGACUGCUACGCGAAGAGAGCGGCGCACCUUCAGGGUCAACUUCACCGGAGGAUGACAGUGACACGGAGAGCGAGACUGAUGGAGACAGAUGUGACGAAGCGCUUCUGAGGCUGUUCAACUCCGACACUGAAGAAGACGACUUCAUGGGUUUCAGCGAAGAGGAUUAAAGUGACUUGUGCUUUCAAACACAGGAGAAAUUAAAGUAAAUAAAUGCUGUUUUUUUUCUCUUGG
Seriola aureovittata is the source of this 707-nucleotide long non-coding RNA. RefSeq lists it as uncharacterized. The record is from RefSeq and is a predicted model, not a curated record. Lineage: Eukaryota; Metazoa; Chordata; Actinopteri; Carangiformes; Carangidae. The transcript has 2 exons.